This is a non-coding RNA of Vicia faba (fava bean), 363 nucleotides long. NCBI's taxonomy places the organism in Eukaryota, Viridiplantae, Streptophyta, Magnoliopsida, Fabales, Fabaceae. The record is from the annotation of a GenBank genome assembly.
AUUCGACACGUGGAUUCCUAUCAGCUAUCUUCUAUUUUUUUGUUCGCUGCUAUUUCAAUUUUUUUUGUUCCCUGCUAUUUCAAUUUUUUCAUCUACAUUCUAAUGGCAGUUACAAUCUUCAACUUUUUCCCAUUCCACACUUCCACUACCAGCGGUUACAACCAUCCUUCAUGGUUAACAUUCGAUUUUUUCCCUUUACAUUCUCAUGGUAGUUACAAUCUUCAAUUUUUUCCCAUUUCACACUUCCACUACCAGCGGUUACAGUCGUCCUUCAUGGUUAAUUGUACGUUUCAUCUCUCGAAAAUGCUUGGAAAUCGAAGACCCUAUGACCAUCAAGAAGGUUUUAGAAGAUCGAAGAUAUAA